RNAcentral lists this long non-coding RNA (906 nucleotides) under Cotesia glomerata. RNAcentral describes it as "uncharacterized LOC123270607, transcript variant X3". The record is from RNAcentral. Lineage: Eukaryota; Metazoa; Arthropoda; Insecta; Hymenoptera; Braconidae.
GUUGUGGUCACGGCGAAAACGUCACUCAUGACGUCAUGACUAAUGCUCACGCAAGGCUCACAACGACCCAUCUAAAGAGGUGGGUCAAAGUGAACGUUGAGAAUAAUUCGGCGCAAUUUUUGAAAUUGUUUUUGAAAUAUGAUAUUCAAAGCUUAAAGAUGGCGACAAGAAAAAUAACAUUAUAUGAUUCUGAAAGAGAAAUUGUAGUAGAAGCUAUCGUUUCUGAAGCUGAAGCUGCUCGUGCAGAAAGAGAUGUAUUUUUUGCAACUGAGCUGUUAAGAAAAAUUAUUAAUCAAAAUUCUUAAGCUUCCGCAUCUGUUGAAGUUGAUCAAGAAUCUAGUGAAUUAUACGAUGAAGAGACUUCAGAGAGUUUUAUUGGAGAAGAACGACUUGAUAGUGAUAAUCCAACCGAUCUCAACUCUGAAACUCCAGAAUUUGAAGGAGAAACUUCAGUAUACAGGUGGAACUCACCCUGCGUAUUAUUAUUAUUGGAAUUAUAUAGGUCUAUGGAAGGAACUCUGAACAGUGGAAAAAUUUCUCAAAAACAAGUAUGGAAUAAAAUAUCCCAAGAUAUGAAAAAAAAAGGAUACGAUGUGACGGGACCGCAAUGUCAUUCUAAAAUACGAAGCCUAAAAAAAAACAUAAAUCUACUAAGGAUCAUAACAAUAAGUCAGGAAAUAAUAGAAAGACAUGGCAGUUUUACGAUAUUAUGGAUGAAAUUUUUGGCGAAAAAGUAUGGUGCAAUCCAGUUGCAGUUGCAUCUUCUACUGGUCUGUCGUUGAAAGAAGCAGAAAAUAAUGAUAGUACAGCGGGAUCUGAUAGCGGAUGUUCACUAAAAACAAGUAAGGCGUCGAUAGCAUCUUUACUGGGAAAAAGAUUGCAUCAAAAAGAGGAACAUGAAGAAAA